This is a long non-coding RNA of Anser brachyrhynchus (Pink-footed goose), 3239 nucleotides long. Lineage: Eukaryota; Metazoa; Chordata; Aves; Anseriformes; Anatidae. The record is from Ensembl.
UUAUUUUAUUUUAUUUUAUUUUAUUUUAUUUCACUUCUGGAGACACCAGUGGAGGAACGCACAGCCCCAUCACUGAGCAGAGGGCGGCAGGCUGCCAGCUCCCAUCCCUGGUUUUCUAGCAGCAUGGCACCGGGCAGAUUCCCCAGAGACGAGCCAAGCGCAGCGAUGCCCCCGUGGCUGUGGGGCCGUUUAGCUUCUCGGGGGCUGUGCUGGAGCACGACCAAAGGGUGAGCCACAGGGGAAGGUGCAAGAGAGGCACCGCACCAAGGCUGAGUACAGCAGAGCCCCUUUGCCAAAAAAUGCGUACUGAAGACAACAGGGGCAGUGAGGGGUGCCGUCACCCAACCCCAUCCCCAUUCCACGGCCUCUCCUCAAGGAUAUCGCCGUGUGUUCUGGAACCACCGCGGACGCUAGGCUCACUUGUAGACAUCAAUGACCGUGAAGCACCAGCAGCAUGCCACCAGCGACCAUUCCUUGAGGCAGGUGGCCACGCCAACCCAUCUCCGCACGGAAUUUGUCACAGGUCAAGUUACCACACGCCACGUCCAACGUGACUCCGGCGUUACUCACCGUGUUUACUCCUUCCAGCCCCGUCGCCGCUCCCGCCGCGCAGAACCAGUCGCGGCAGCUAAGCGAAGCCGCCCCAUGUGCUGGAGACGUCAGGUCAUGGACGUCCUCCCAAGGGGUGUAAUUAGACAUCACCGCACCCUCCUUACGCACGUUGGGCUUGACGAGGCUUGUCGGGCUGCGAGCCCCCGAGCAACACGAGGGAAAAGCACACGCCCUACGUCGAAUGGUUUCGGAGCAAAAGCCUCCUCAGCUGAGACAGGAGCCUAAAUCGAUCAGUGGCAGAAGGUGAUUGCAUUCACGAAGGGUCCCUCUCCCUUCUGUGAUCGUCCUGUUUUCAUAUGCUUGUUUUCACUCCGAUGUAGAUGGACUCUUCAUUUGCAUGCUGGUAAUUGAUCGCAUAUUUAACUCUUCUGCGUGCUCUGCUGGGAGUUGUUGGGUUACUUAAAUGUAGGUCAAAUAGGAGAGGACUUGGGAAAAAAGCGAGGGAGAGAAAAUUGAGAGAGGAAAGGUCAUGUGCAGCGUGGUGCACACAGAUGGCUUAUUAUCGCUAGGACCAUGUGGCAGAAUCCAAACUCGUCCGACAGGCUGUUUUCGUGAUGCAAAACUCCUUCAGGGACCGCCGAACCUCCGAAAGUAUCCGCGUGAAUUCUGCAGGAUGUUCUCACUUAGCUGACCUCGCAGAAGCCUUGGAAUAGUUGCAAUUUCAAAUCUGCUUUUGCAAACUAAGAGGUUUAGCGCAAGGCUGUGAUGGGAUGGAGAUCCGUUUUAAUGUUCACCAGGUCUCUAAACCCAGACCCCACAGGUUUUGCAAGAGUAGCUGGACAUUCUGUAGGGCCCUCAUCUCAGCAGGGGUAAAGUAACAGCAGCACCUUCCCGUGGCUCAACCCUUACUUUCCUACUGCUCAAAGACCAUGCGGAAAGCAAAAAAUGAAGCGACUGAAAGAUUUAUGUUGGAACUGGAUCCCCAUGGAUCAGAACACGAAUAACACCUCCGUCCCCUCCCAAAUCUACCAGACCUGACCUUUCACAAUCACCAUUUCCUGACCACUGACUCCAAAGAAAAUAGAGCUGCUGGUUGGUAUUUAAUGGAAAUCUGCUCAAAACUUGUCAAAAUACACCACCGUGCAUGUCAGAUGCCUGGGACAAGACCUCUACAGUAGUUUCCAGAAACCCAGUGCAAUUACUUACAUUUUAAAUUAUCUUUAAUUGUCGCAUGUGAGUUACAGAAACAUUUUUCCCCACUCUGAAGCAAGACCUCGCUAUUAAGAGUCACCCCAUAAUUGCAGCUUUAAUAGGGGAACCGCAGCAGGUCAGCCGCGAAGGUUAGCGCGGGGCGCAGCGAGGCGAAAGCGGCUGCUGCACACCCGUAAGUGGAAGUGACACACCACAAUAGCCCCAUCAAUUAUGUAGGGGCAGUUUGGAGUGUAAACUUUUUAGCGAAUCUAAUUACCCCACCAGAUGUUUUAAUCCAAUCUCCCUGCCCCUCCCCUGCCAUCAAAUGCGCUGUUGGUUUUUUGAGCUCCUGGUACGAAAAAGUCACCUGGGCUACACACUCUAAAUGAAACUUGAUGAGUUUUUUUGCAGGACCUGAGCAUCCUUUUGCUAUCCGAGAGAUUAUUCAGGUUUGUGUGUGGGUGCACACAGAUUCAGGGCACAUGGGAUCGAAGCGAAUCAGAAUGAACGCACUCCUGCAUCGAUAAGGUUGGCACAGAGGGUGCAAGACUGAUGAAAAAUAGAUGAGCUGGUGUAAAUGCGCUCAGGAGCUAAAUGACAACUGUUAGCCUGGCGAUGCCAAAUGUAAGCAGGCCCUGUCAAUAGCAUUAGAGAUGCCGCACCAGAUUUUCCAAGGCUGUUUGCAAAUUGACCUAAUGUUCCUGUUGACACAAAACCUUGAAAGCGCAGCUAAAAGCAGCAUUGCUGAACACGCCUGAUUUGCUCACAGAUUGCGGUCAGAUGUGAGCAUGAAAGAAACUACUUGCCUGUGCAUCUAGGAGAGGGGAAAAUGGUGAAUUAACUGUGCACACGGCCGCCUGAUGCUACCUUCCAGAAGCAGCUGUGGAGAGCAGGGAAGGAACCUACCGGCAUGGCGAGGAGUUUCCUCCUCCUGCAGUGAACUGUGGUUUUGGCUUGGUGGGAAAUCGGGGUGUGUGCAUGCAAUGUGUUGACCAGUCCUCAGCCUUGACUGUGGUGUUUGGAAAAAUCUGUCUUUGACAACUUAAAACCCUAUCAUGGGAAAAAAGAAAAAAAAAAACACAAAAAAACACAACAAAAAAAAAAACCAUAAACCAACAACAACAAUAACAAACCCACAACCACAAAUCAGAGGAGUCUCAAUCUGUUCUUCAUUAGAGCUCCAGUUGACUAAUUUGCUGGUCGUUAUUUUCGCCAGCUUAUCACAUUAAUAGACGCUUUUCUUCCCUUCUAGCCCAGUUCCCCAGUCGGAGAGCAGUCAGACUUGUACCAAGUACAACUUCAGGCACAACUCUUGGGAUGGAAACAUGCAGAGCAAACAAUGAAACAAGACUGUUUAUAAAGCCUUCAACACAUUAGGCAGUGGAGAAGAGCCCAAGUUUCCACGUAAAGGCCUGAAUGGACAAGAAUGACGUGGAACACAUGGAAAAUAUGGAAAAUGUGGAAUAAGUAAUAAAAUUAUAAAUAAAACAAAUACA